RNAcentral lists this long non-coding RNA (2727 nucleotides) under Callithrix jacchus (white-tufted-ear marmoset). RNAcentral's name for it is "lncRNA (ENSCJAG00000073575.1)". The record is from RNAcentral. Lineage: Eukaryota; Metazoa; Chordata; Mammalia; Primates; Cebidae.
CAAAUCAAAACCACAAUCAGCUAUAAACUCCCAUUCUUUAGGAUGCCUAUUACUAAAAAUAAAAUAGAAAAUAACAAGUGUUAGGAAGAAUGUAGAGAAAUGGGAAACCCUCUAUACUGUCGUUGGGAAUGUAAAAUAGUACAGCUGCUAUAGAAAGAAGUAUGACAGUUCCUCAAAAAUUAAAAAUAGGAUUACCAUAUGAUCCAGAAAUUUCAGUUCUGGGUAUAUAUUCAAAAGAAUGGAAAGCAAAGUCUUGAAGAGAUACUUGUACAUCUAUUUGUUCCAGAAUUAUUCACAAUAUCCAGGAGGGGGAAGCAACCCAAAUGUCCAUCAAAGAAGAAAUGGUUCAACAAAAUAUAGUAUGUGCAUACAAUGGAUUAUCAGCUUUAAAAAGGAUGAAAAUUCUGACACAAACUACAACAUGAUGGAGUGAAGUAUUCGCCCUCUGUCUUCCAAAUUCCAAGAAACAGAUGUAAAACUCCCCAGGUGAUCUCUGAAGAAUUUAUCAUUUGUCUGGGAGUGGUAUAACCAUAACAUCACUGCAACAGUUCUCAGUUUAAAGAAAUCCUUUCUCUUCAAACUUCGAUUAUCACUUCACUUUUACCUACCCAUGUAUUCCAGACCUGAAAAGAAGGUAAACCAUGGGAGAAAAAAGUUGUUUGAUAAUCUCAAAACACUGCAGGUACAGAACCUAUUCUGCUAAGGGUAAUUGCUGACAGUCUAAAAGGACAAAAUGCAACAGCUUAAUGCACAACUUUGCUAAUUAAUAUGUGCCUGUGAGUGAUGUCGUUUAUUAUUUUAAUAGUUGUUAUGAUUAUUUCUUUUUCUUUUGUUCUUUAUUUUAUUAGAAUUUUAUCUUCUUUCUUUUUUAGAUUAAGCUUUUUUCUCAUUAGGUUUUUUUUUAAUUUUUAAUUUUGUUAACUACUUUUGUUGGUUUUGUUCCCAAUUUCAGUGACUUUUGUUCAUUUAUUUGUUAUUUUUAAUUUCCUGUGUUUACUCUGUUGCUCUUAUUCUGCCGUUUUGAGUUCAGCUAAUGUUUUCUUUUUCAGUGUUCUUUGUGUUUGGUUUAAUGUACUCAAAGACAUCAAUUUCUAAAUUCUACUUUUGUUAACAGUGGCAAGUAUCUGAGUCUCAUGACAUUAAAUAUGUUACCAGUUGAAGGUAUUUGAGUUAUGGGUGGCAAAUCCAUACGGGUCUGCGACAACAUCUAUUCUUUGCUCCUCAGGAGAAGGAAUUCAACUGAGAGGCUUAAGGCAGUAAAAGAAACUUAGGCAAGUUUCAGAGCAGGAGUGAAAGUUUAUUAAACAGCUUUAGAACAGAAAAGAAAGUAUGCUUGGAAGAGUCCCAUGCUGGCAGUUUGAAGAACAAGUGUAAUGCUUAAUCUCGAUCCCAGGACGUUAUAGACUGGCCUCUUUCUCAUGAUUCUUCCCUUAGUGGGGGCUGCCCCUGUGCAGUGCCUUCCUUACCCUUGGGAAGUGAGCACGUUCAGUGUGUUUAGGAAGCUGUACACAUGCCCACAUGAGGCUUUCUUCCCUUUUCCAGUAGUGCCCCCAUAAGGCUAUACUCUGCCAUUUUGUCUCUUAAUGCAUAUAUUCAGGAAGUUGUAUCUCCCUGGCCUCUGCAUUCAAUCAACAGUUUAGUGCAACAGGUAUGGAGCAUCAGAAAAUGUCCUCUCCCUGGUGCGGGCUGCCAAUUUAUCACUUUAAGGGAGGCAAUGUGAUAGUUGCCAAACCACUACCUGACAUUCUUAGUGGGUGGGGGAAGAGCCCUCUCCUAUCCACUCAUUCAUGUGUAAUUACCUGUAACACUUGGAGUCUUACACAUAUCAGUAUGUAGUGUUUUUGCUUCAUUCAAUACUUCAUAAUUUCCUAUGAGUUCCUCUUUAAUAAAAGAUAUAUUUAUCAUAGGUUUCAAAUAUAAGGAAUUUUUUUAAAGCUGUCCUUUUUUAUGAAUUCCUCACUUUGUUGAAUUCUGCUCAAAGAAUAUAGUCAUAAUGUAAUGUCAAUUCUUCAGGAUUUAUUAAUGCUUCUAUUGUGGCCUUGUCUAUGGUAUCUUGCAUGAAUUGACUAAAAGAAUAUUUAUUGUUGUUGUUGGAUAUACAUUUCUACAUAUAGUUAAUAUGGUUUUAAUGUGUUACCUAAAUGUAAUAUAUUAAUAGGUUUUUCUUCUAGAUCUCUCAAACCACAGUUUUUGAUAUACCUGUUUUUCCUGAGCAUUGUUGUGUUACAUGUGUUAGGGCUGUGUUACUGAAACUCCAGGGGUUUGGUCUAGAUCCUGCUCCUGACUACAUAGAAAGCCAAUCACUGGGGCAAUGAGUAUUGCCAGGAAAGAAGGCUUUAUUUGGUUGUUGUAGUCCAGCAGAUAGGAGACUGGUCUAAAUCCAUCUCCUCAACUAACUAAAAUUAGAGAUUUACAUAAUGUACAAUAAAUGUAACGAUAUGUGAGAAAACAGGCAUUAGGGAAUAGUAAGGAAGAGGAGUUGGUGGGUUGGAUAGGCAAUCAUGAAGGAUGAGGGCUCUGGUGUCUUAUUGUUCAGAUGCAAUUGUCUGGUAAGUUUGAGUCCCUUGACAUUAUCUGGGAGGACUGAUGGUUGGUUUCCUGAGAAAGGAAGUCAUAUAAGACAAAUGUAACAUUCUCAGCUUUGAGACUGGGAGGGGCAAUUUCUAUGUUUAUUCAAAAUAAACCAUAACUUCAUUUGUAUGGUACAACUGGGCCCAUGUAAGCUGC